This 212-nucleotide long non-coding RNA is filed under the name Phoenix dactylifera (date palm). Its description in RNAcentral is "long non-coding RNA (PDAC_LNC010391)". Lineage: Eukaryota; Viridiplantae; Streptophyta; Magnoliopsida; Arecales; Arecaceae. The record is from RNAcentral.
AGCCUAGAGAGGGAAGAGGUGUGAAGGUGUAGGGCAUGACUCAUGAGCUUCCGUUGCAAGGUUCUCCUUCCUUAUUCCGGACCAGAAUCUUGUCUUUGCCUCUCGGUGGGUUGUUCUGCAUUUCAUCCCCUUUUUGUUUUCUUCUCCUCAUCUUCUUCUCUUUUUCUUGGGGACCAUCCAUGGACCAAUGUACUGGAGGUCGGUCUUUCAGC